UACAGAGAGUCCAAGCGUUAUUCGGAUUCACUGGGCGUAAAGGGUGCGCAGGCGGCCGCAUGUGUCAGGUGUGAAAGCUCCGGGCUUAACCCGGAAAUUGCAUUUGAAACUAUGCGGCUUGAGUUUUGGAGAGGGAAGCGGAAUUCUCGGUGUAGCGGUGAAAUGCGUAGUUAUCGAGAGGAACACCAAAGGCGAAGGCAGCUUCCUGGACAACAACUGACGCUCAUGCACGAAAGCGUGGGUAGCGAAAGGG
This 253-nucleotide unclassified non-coding RNA is filed under the name uncultured Verrucomicrobiota bacterium. RNAcentral's name for it is "uncultured Verrucomicrobia bacterium contains 16S-23S intergenic spacer region". It matches the Rfam family "Bacterial small subunit ribosomal RNA", at positions 524 to 776 of the family's 1533-position model. The record is from RNAcentral. Lineage: Bacteria; Pseudomonadati; Verrucomicrobiota.